CGUGCUUCAGGUGGCUAGGUGGUCAGCACUCAUCGGGGGACUAAUCUAUGGCUACCAUCACAACAAAAUUCUCUUUGCGCGUGAGUCAUACUGGAGAGAGCAUGGACAUCUGGGUGAAUUCCCUCUGCUGGGCAAAGUGGAUGUGGAACUAGAGAAGAGAUCAAAACACACGAUGAUGAGGGGCAGCAAAGACGCACAUCACUAGAAGAAAAUACACUAACAGGAACCCCACCCAUUACUACCAGGUACCUUCACACUAACAGACAGAAGGAAGUCAAUGUAAAUGUAAACAGAGCGAUAAAAACUGAAGACGGAUGACUGAAAACUACAUGGCCUAUGAUGUUCUCUGUGAUCUGUACGAGAAAGAUAGAUUGUAUAUUGACUAUGAACUCUAGUUUGUCUAAUUAUACCGGUCAAAUUAAAUUUAACUUUAA
Symsagittifera roscoffensis is the source of this 434-nucleotide long non-coding RNA. RefSeq lists it as uncharacterized. NCBI's taxonomy places the organism in Eukaryota, Metazoa, Xenacoelomorpha, Acoela, Convolutidae. The transcript has 3 exons. The record is from RefSeq and is a predicted model, not a curated record.